This 1068-nucleotide ribosomal RNA is filed under the name Syarinus sp. JM-2008. Its description in RNAcentral is "eukaryotic LSU rRNA". It matches the Rfam family "Eukaryotic large subunit ribosomal RNA", at positions 82 to 919 of the family's 3401-position model. The record is from RNAcentral. Lineage: Eukaryota; Metazoa; Arthropoda; Arachnida; Pseudoscorpiones; Syarinidae.
AGUAACUGCGAGCGAACGGGGAAGAGCUCAUAGCCGAAUCCGGCGCCGGGAGGCGUCUGAAAUGUGGCGUAUGGGAGGCGGCGCCUCUCCGAGUGCGACCGGCGGUGCAAGUCCCCAUGAGAGGGGCGUGCAACCCGGAGCGGGUGCUAGGCCCGUACCGCCGCUGGUUCGCGCGCGGAGUUGCCGUUCUCCCGGGAGUCGGGUUGCUUGGUAGUGCAGCCCAAAGUGGGUCGUAAACUCGACCUAAAGCUAAAUAUCGCCGGGAGACCGAUAGCAAACAAGUACCGUGAGGGAAAGUUGAAAAGCACUUUGAAGAGAGAGUUCAAGAGUACGUGAAACCGUUCAGAGGUAAACGGGUGGGGCCUCGAAGUCCGAAGCGGUGGCGGAUUCAGCCGGGGUCCGAGCGAGAUCGGUCCGGUACGCGUGCGGAUGCCUCCUCGAGGGAGGAACCCGCGAGGCGGACUUUCGGAUCCUGGCGCACUUCCGCGCCCCGCGAAGUAGGGCGUCGCGAUCGGCUGACGGACCGUCGCAAGGGCGAUGCGGAAGGUGGCUGCAUGCUAUUUAUAGCGAGCGGUGUUUACAGACGUGUCGUGCCCGGAGGGGUCGGUCGGCCGGUUUGUGUUCCGUGCCUCUUCCUUCCACGAGCGGGGGCGGUCUCCCUUUCGAUGCAACCUCGGCGCAGCGUGCCACCGCGACGGUGAGCGCCUCGUCGGCGGGGGUACUCGGAUGGGAGGGGCCGCCCGGGAGGGCGCGCAGAUCGGCGGCGAGUAGGUCGGUUACCCACCCGACCCGUCUUGAAACACGGACCAAGGAGUCUAACGCGCGUGCAAGUCCCCGGGACUUGGAUAGGCCCGUGGGCGUAGCGAAAGCGAGCGUCGGGAUCCGCCCUUCACGGGGCGGCGCACCGACCGCCUGCCCAGAGCCGGGCUCCGGCUGGGCGGAGCGAGAGCACGUGCUUUGGGACCCGAAAGAUGGUGAACUAUGCCUGGGCAGGACGAAGCCAGAGGAAACUCUGGUGGAGGUCCGUAGCGGUUCUGACGUGCAAAUCGAUCGUCUGACCUGGGUAUA